AAAUGAGACCACUGACAACAAGGAAAGGAAGUGGGACUUUGGUGACUACAUAGGAGCACAUCAUGCUUGGCACCUUAGGAUGUGAUGAGGAGUGCAUAAUUCAAAACAAAACCUCUUAAUGAGGAGAAUGGUGCCACCACCCAUUUCCCAUUUUCUGCAGUAAAGGGUAAUCAGUAUAGACACUUCAAAAAUAAAAAAAAAAAAACACAGUGCAGUCAGGCUGCUGCAAGAUCUUUGUAUUGCAAUUUGGACACUUACCUAAAUCCUCUAUCAGUUAUAAACAAGAAUAUUUGUAACUAUCCUGAAGACAUUUCAGUAUUAUUAAACCGUAUUUGUUUUACAUUUUCAUUAUCUUGUUGAGAAAUUUGGAAUCAAAUUUGCAAUGUAGGACAUUUGACUGAAAUUUUACUGGUUAUUGGCAUUGCAAAAUGUCAUUCAUAUUUAUCUGUUAAUAUCUUUAACACUCACAAUCAAUGGAUUACUGUAACCUGUGAGAUGUAACCAACAUCAGGAAGCCUAUGAAGAGAAAAGAAGGAGAAGCCAAAUAGCUAUACUGUAAUUUGUAUAUCAGAGUUCUGUUUAUAUUGGGUUUCAAAGAACAGUAUUUCUCAGAUAGAAUUCAGACAAUGUAUCUGGAAUCUUAAAAGAGCACUGCAUUUUGGUUGCUAUCAUUAAUAGUAUGAGUUAGAAAAAACAUUUCCCUUUAAUGUUUUACAGCAUGAUUAGACUUAGGAAGACCAGCUGUGAAAUUUGAAAACAUAAAAUUUGAUUUUAGAGAUUUAAGCUCAAAGAUGUGUAUCAGUGUUUAUAAAAAUGAGUUAAAAUUCUAUGAUGAUUAAAAAAAAUUCCAGACAUCUGUCCCAACUUUUCCUCCUGUGGGCAUCCAGUCUCUGAUCUCAAGUCUCCAGUCUUUUUGUUUUUAUGUCACCACACACAAACUGGUGGUUGAAAUGCCAAUAAUGUUACUUGGAGAUGGUUCAGUGACUAAAAGCUGUGUAGUUACCAUGCAAAUUGAAUCUGCAAAAUGAACCUGAACUUUUCCAAAUACAACUCUGUUAAGACUGGUCUGUAAAUUAGUAGCUGCGUCAACCACCCACAUC
This 1100-nucleotide long non-coding RNA is filed under the name Anas platyrhynchos platyrhynchos (common mallard). RNAcentral describes it as "lncRNA (ENSAPLG00000026732.1)". The record is from RNAcentral. Lineage: Eukaryota; Metazoa; Chordata; Aves; Anseriformes; Anatidae.